Molecule: ribosomal RNA, 253 nt
Filed under: uncultured bacterium
Lineage: Bacteria
Description: partial 16S ribosomal RNA
Rfam family: Bacterial small subunit ribosomal RNA
Source: RNAcentral
CACGUAGGAGACAAGCGUUAUCCGGAUUUACUGGGUGUAAAGCGCGUGCAGGCGGUUUUGUAAGUUGGAUGUGAAAGCUCCUGGCUUAACUGGGAGAGGUCGUUCAAGACUGCAAGACUAGAGUAUGUCAGAGGAGAGUGGAAUUCCGAGUGUAGCGGUAAAAUGCUUAGAUAUUCGGAAGAACACCAGUGGCGAAGGCGGCUCUCUGGGGCAUAACUGACGCUCAGACGCGAAAGCUAGGGUAGCAAACGGG